This 3533-nucleotide long non-coding RNA is filed under the name Zostera marina. RNAcentral's name for it is "long non-coding RNA (ZMAR_LNC001447)". Lineage: Eukaryota; Viridiplantae; Streptophyta; Magnoliopsida; Alismatales; Zosteraceae. The record is from RNAcentral.
CGGCCACGGUAUUUCAUUUUUUUCCAUAUAAUUAAUUAAAGAAUUUUACAUUUUUUUCAUUUUUUUUUUUUAAUUAGACUCUCAUCAACUUUGCUAUAACCGAACAUAUCGGUAGAAGUUCGAAGAAAACUAGAUUAUUAUGAACAACUGAUUUCUCAUUGAGCAAGAAGACAACCCAUCGGAUGAAUGUGGUGAACUUUUCAACAUAUAAAGGAAAAGGUUCUAUGACAGCAGGUGAGGUUGAUAAUAAGGUCAACGAGGCAGUCGAGAGGGCAAUGGCUAGUCAGAAUGAAGCGAUGACUCGUCAGAAUAAAACGAUGGCUCGUCAAAUGAAAUUCUUACAACAAUACAACGCGACAAUACUCGCUCAGAAUCCGAACAUGCACUUACCAGAAUUUCCCACAUUCUUCAACGAAACUACGGCGCAACCCGUGGGAGGGUUUAACAUAAAUUCUUCUGGAACGUCGACUUCUAGAGCACCUCAAGUACAACUGCACGAAACUACGUCUCUUCAACAUACAAUGCCAUAAGAGGAGCACACUACUCCACAACCGCGCAGAGGAAGAUCGAUUAUCUUCACAAUAAAAGCAUUACGAAAGGUGGUCGGAACUAAAAAAAAAAAGAGCAAAAAAUAGAAAUUAUAAUUACCGAAUUUAAUUUCUGUCGUACUUUCAAUAUCGAACAUCAUUUUCAAUUUCAAUUUCAAUUUAUUAAUUUCAUACAAUUUCAAUUAUAUAAAUAUAUUUCUAUUAAAUUUCAUUAUUUAAAUAAAAAAUAUUUCAAAUAAAAAAAAUUUUAAAAAAAAAAUUACAAUUAAAAAUUAAAAAAUUCCAUUGAGAACCAACGACUUGGCUCCCAGAAUUUUUUUCCCGGGGAAUUUUUUUUUCUGUCGAGAAAUAUUGACCAGCGGCCUAGCCGCCGGGAAUUUUUUGAAUAAUUUACACUACCAGUGGCCAGGCCACCAGGAUAUAAUUUUCAAAAAAAUAUGCUUGCGGCUAAACCGCCGGAACCAUUUCUGUUAAAAACGGAAUCCACAAUUUAUUGCCGGUGGCCUGGCCGUCGGUAAAUUACAAUUCUGACGACAUUACUUCCGGCGAUGGAAUACCGUCGGCUUAGCCGCCAAGAACCAUUAUACCGGCGGCCUGGCCGUCGGAAUUUACCGCCAGAACAACGCUGGUUUUUUGUAGUGCGUAUUUGGUAACUUCAAUAUGGUAUCGCAUCGACCGAAAAUGUCGAUGGCACUAUAGAUCCUACUUCCGCUACAGACACUGGAUCGGGGGACACACUGCUGGUCACGGCGUCUCUGGACGCUCUGGGUCCGACACAUUCGUCGGCAAAGGUGGUUAUCAUAAAAAAUUGAAGUGUGUUAUCCUAGAAGAGGAUAACUACUUUAGCUGGUGAGCGUAGAUCGAUCGGCUCUUCUCCGAGGCUACAUGCUCCUCGAUUACUUGGAAGGAAGGGUGCUGACACAUGAAUGUACACCAGUCACUCCCAUCAACAUGAACUAGGGUUCCGUUCGCUAUAUGUCGGACCCCCAGAAGACUCCCACGAGAGAGGAACUAAAGUCUUCGUCAAUGACCCGAGUCAACUUUCCUGAUCGCCGAUUUGGUCUGCCAAAUUGCCGAUUUGAGUGGCAAAUCAUCGAGUUAAGGACAAGAUCGUCAGAGUCUGGAAGACUACCAAUCUUCCCCUUUGAACUCGUCGAGUUUGUCACUAAAUCGUCGAUUCACCCUCAAAUCGUCGAUUCAGACGGUUACUCGCGUCCAGCUCGAGACAUAAUGCAUGUAACAAUCGCCAUUAUGGCCGGGCGCGAUCAUCGUCGCGGAUUACGUCCCCAGAGGUACUAUAAAAGAGGACCUUGGACCUAUUCCAAAGGCAUUAGUUCUACCCUUUCUAGAACGUAUUACACGGAGCGAAUCGUCGAUUCUCACACUGAAAUCGUCGAUUACCUCCCGGAAGACUUGACGUAGAGCGCACGUCGUGGAUCUCAGAGCCUCCGGCACACCAAGGCAGUCGCUUGUACCACCGUGAGUGCUGAUAAGACAUUCCGUGCUUCAUCAGCUGACGUCGUCUGUGGGACAAUCGGACUCGCCGAUUUCCUUCACAAAUCGCCGAUUUUUUUCGAUAAGUUCCGCUGAUUUCAUUUGAAAUCGACGACUUUUCAAAAAAUCAUCAAUUUUUCAAGAAAUUGUCUAACCGUCAUAGGCAUCUGACCACAAAGCUUUGCCAAAAUUCCCUGGUGCACAGAAUCGCCGAUUUGUGCUUGAUUUUUUGGUGACAUCGUCAAGUCACUUGUGGAACUGUGGUCCAUUAAGCCAAAUCACCGAUUUCCAUUUGAAAUCUUCGAUUUGGUCUCCCACAUUUCGCUCACUACGCCAAAUUGCCGAUUUUCAUCUGAAAUCUCUGAUUUGGUCUUACACAUUUCGUUCGCUAAGCGAAAUCGUCAAUUUCCAUCAGAAAUCGCCGAUUUGGUCUUCUCGUGGAUCGUCUCUACAUUUAUCGCUUCGGCUGAAUUAGACUAUCCACAACCCAUCACUUAGGCUGGGCUCAUAAUCCAUCUCUACGGUUGAAUUCGUCUCUUCGUCUCAUAUAUCCCUACUUUACAAGGAAAGUUGGCAAUUUUUCACCAACUCCAGGGGGUAUCGCAAACAACUAAAGAUUUCUCCAUCACCUUGCCUGGGAAAUAUUUCGUAAAAAAUCAAAAUGUCUGUCACUUCGGUUAGUAAUUCAAAAAUCUGUCGCGUCAACAUGAUUCUCGGGGGGAGUAUCACAAGUUCUCUCUAGCACUUCCGUCACUUCGAACAGAAACUUCAAUAUUUUAAAAUUUUGUCGUGUCAACAUGAUUCUCGGGGGGAGUAUCUCAAGUUCUUUCCAACACUUCCGUCGUUUCGACCGAAAAUUUCAGUAAUUCAAAAAUUUGUCGCGUCGACAUGAUUAUCAUAGGGAGUAUCACAAACUCUCUCCAACACUUCCGUCGUCGUUUCGGAUAGAAACUUCAAUAUUUCAGAAACAAGAGUUGAGACAAUUCGAUUUAUUUCGGCAAUUGUACGAUCGCCUCCAACAGGCUACUAUAGCAUUACAAUAUAAGACAUCCAAACCAUUUUAAGAAACAGAAGCAUUUACGAAAUACAGAAAAAAUAGAUGAAAGUAAAGACAUAGUGAAAAAACGUCGAAAGACCGCUUAGUGAUUCUUUAGACCUAGACAUUGCUUUUUGUUUAAAUUUUUUACAAAAUCACGGUAAACUAAGAAACAUAGAUUGACGAUCCUAAAAAAUGUGAAAUCAAACCAUGAAAGAGUACUAUGCUAAUGGAUUAUAAAAGAGGGAAAAAAGCGUACCUUACUUUCUUACCAACAGUAUACCUUGCUGCCUUCACAACCUUCUUCCUCCACCAUGAAAAACAGAGUCAAUAAAAACCGAUUUUUUGAUGGGGAAAUAUUAUAAAUAGAUAGAAAAAAGCAGUUGUCAAACCUCUUCUCCAAGUAAACGUGUCUGAGGCCUGAAGGCAACGAUUCACGCAAAUUUCGAUUUUCA